GGGCCCUUAGCUCAGUGGUCAGAGCGCUCGGCUCAUAACCGGGUGGUCAUGGGUUCGAACCCCAUAGGGCCCA
This 73-nucleotide transfer RNA is filed under the name Salinigranum rubrum. RNAcentral describes it as "Halobacteriaceae archaeon GX10 tRNA". It matches the Rfam family "tRNA". From Rfam's summary of the family: Transfer RNA (tRNA) molecules are approximately 80 nucleotides in length. Their secondary structure includes four short double-helical elements and three loops (D, anti-codon, and T loops). The record is from Rfam by way of RNAcentral. RNAcentral also lists the same sequence under 1 other name. Lineage: Archaea; Methanobacteriati; Methanobacteriota; Halobacteria; Halobacteriales; Haloferacaceae.